CGGAGGACAAGAAACUAAACAGGAUCCCCAUAGUAAUGGCGAAUGAACCGGGAUAAACUCAGCAUGGAAAUUGGGGCCUUUGGCUUUGACUUGUAAUCUGGUGAGGCAUUGCCAACAGAGGCGCAUAUGUAAGUCUCUUGGAAAAGAGCAUCAACGAAGGUGAGAGUCCUGAUUGUCAUGUGCAGCCCCCCUGUGCACGGUGUGCCUUCUAAGAGUCACGUUCCUUGGGAUUGGAGCGCAAAUUGGGUGGUAACUUUCAUCUGAAGUUAAACAAUGGUUUGGGACCGAUAGGAAACAAGUACCAUGAGGGAAAGGUGAAAAGGACUUUGGAAAGAGAGUUAAAAGUGCCUGAAAUUGCUGAAGGGGAAGCGAAUGGAACCAGUGGUGCUGGGUGAGAUUGUCACAUGCUGCAAGGAUUGGUUGCUGCCACAACGCAAGUGUGCUGGCAAUUUGUGAGCUGCUAGCGUGUGGUGUGUCUUUGUUGUUAUGCUUGAGGGGGCUUAGAGCGAUCUUGUUAAAAUGGUUUUUACGACUCGUCUUGAAACACGGACCAAGG
This 556-nucleotide ribosomal RNA is filed under the name Dinophysis acuminata. Its description in RNAcentral is "LSU rRNA". It matches the Rfam family "Eukaryotic large subunit ribosomal RNA", at positions 51 to 671 of the family's 3401-position model. The record is from RNAcentral. Lineage: Eukaryota; Dinophyceae; Dinophysales; Dinophysaceae.